This 1584-nucleotide long non-coding RNA is filed under the name Apis mellifera (honey bee). RNAcentral describes it as "uncharacterized LOC107964660". Lineage: Eukaryota; Metazoa; Arthropoda; Insecta; Hymenoptera; Apidae. The record is from RNAcentral.
UUGUGCGAGAGGAAGAAAAACGGUAGGAGAGGGGAGUAGAGGGAGGGGGGAGGCCCGACACGAGUUGACACGAGCACGCGACCAACAAAAAACUCCGACCGAGUGCUCCUACUCUUAAUUAUCUUGUUAGUCGUUCCCACCACUCCUCCGAGCCAGCCAUCCAAUUCUCUCCUCUUUCACGCUCGAAACCGAGAUCCAUUUCCAAUCGAGAGAUCGAUCUCUUUCCCUUUUAUAUGUAUCGAUAACAUUGCUCGCUCGGUACAUCAUUUUUUACACGGAAGGAAUUUUAAUUAUCGACGAACAAUUUUUCGUAUAUUUUCGUAUACACGGAGAAAUUAUACAGGAGAAGAACGAGGAAAGAGAAUUUUAACCGAUGAGCGAGCAAUAUGGGUAUUCCGUCGUCUUUUAAAACGCGUAACAACAAGGUCCGCAUGUCGAAAUAGCCGCGUUAUUAAACGAUUGCCUCAAUUCAAAGGCAAAUUAACGGACAACGGGCUUAAGUCGACUGCUUGCUAACAUGCAAACGGCCCCGUCCAAUUGAGGACCACCCAAACUGCCCCUUUUAUCUCGAGACGAUUCGUAUCCCGAUCCUAUUCAUCGACCGUUCCAGAAUGAGCGGCCACUUGGCAACCGGGCCAUUCCCUCUCUCACUCCCUCUUCCUCUUUCUCCCUCUCACUCUCUCUCUCUUUCUUUCUUUCCGAUUUAGAAACACGAGUCGAGCCGUUUAUGCGAUAUUUCGAAUUGUUUUCGAUACGUGCAUUUCGAUUAAAAGAUUUUGUAGAUGAUCAUAGUGAUAUAAAGAGAUUUCAGAAUUAUAUAUUAAUACCAAAUUUUAUACAUUUAGAUCGGAAUAAAUGUAUCUCAGUUUAAUUGUAAUCGUUACGAAAAAGUCCUUUCGAUUAGAGAAGACGAGUGGAGGGGGAAAAGUGGAAAGUGCUGCUAAGACGGCGGCAACCGUAAGGCGCGUUACGAUUAUGAGGGUGUUUAACGCGCGUUCGCUCGUCUCGAAUUAUUCUCACGAGGUCGACAAACCUUCCCCGGGAAUGGUUGGUUUAAUUAAAAGUGCCACGCAUGCGGGAUCGACCUAAAAACGAUCGACACACUUGGACAUCUUGGACGACGAAUAAAUAUGCAAACUGGGCACAUAGAGGAGGUAAUUAGUCGAUGGUUCAUCAGUCACUCUGGCACAUAAGAGCCGUGCAUCCCUGACGCAUCGUUCCGAAGCAAAAAAGUGUUGAUCCUUUCCUUGAGAGCAGCAACGACCCGCAGGAUGCAUUAAGGAACUAAUGAAACGUCGGAUCGGAACGUAUCCUCCUUGAGAGAAUCUUCUGGAGGAAGGAGGUUUCUGGAGAAGAAAAGGAUGCCGAGUGUGACGAUCUCUGUCGAUAGUUAAUCGCCUUGCUCGAGGUGGAUCGAUUAUUCAAAUUCAUUGUCUCGAUACACGGCCCUUUAUAGGUGGUAAUUGGCGUUUCAACGAGAUGCACCUGAAAAGCAAUUAGUACGAAAAAAAAAAAUUAAAAAUACGUUAAAGAAUUAAGUGUUUUUGUUUUCCUUCUUUUCAAAUAAAAAUAAAUCUCCUUCGA